GGUGAACGCUGGCGGCGUGCCUAAUACAUGCAAGUCGAGCGAACAGACGAGGAGCUUGCUCCUCUGACGUUAGCGGCGGACGGGUGAGUAACACGUGGAUAACCUACCUAUAAGACUGGGAUAACUUCGGGAAACCGGAGCUAAUACCGGAUAAUAUAUUGAACCGCAUGGUUCAAUAGUGAAAGACGGUUUUGCUGUCACUUAUAGAUGGAUCCGCGCCGCAUUAGCUAGUUGGUAAGGUAACGGCUUACCAAGGCAACGAUGCGUAGCCGACCUGAGAGGGUGAUCGGCCACACUGGAACUGAGACACGGUCCAGACUCCUACGGGAGGCAGCAGUAGGGAAUCUUCCGCAAUGGGCGAAAGCCUGACGGAGCAACGCCGCGUGAGUGAUGAAGGUCUUCGGAUCGUAAAACUCUGUUAUUAGGGAAGAACAAAUGUGUAAGUAACAAUGCACGUCUUGACGGUACCUAAUCAGAAAGCCACGGCUAACUACGUG
RNAcentral lists this ribosomal RNA (497 nucleotides) under uncultured bacterium. Its description in RNAcentral is "partial 16S ribosomal RNA". It matches the Rfam family "Bacterial small subunit ribosomal RNA", at positions 28 to 507 of the family's 1533-position model. The record is from RNAcentral.